This 253-nucleotide ribosomal RNA is filed under the name uncultured bacterium. RNAcentral's name for it is "partial 16S ribosomal RNA". It matches the Rfam family "Bacterial small subunit ribosomal RNA", at positions 524 to 776 of the family's 1533-position model. The record is from RNAcentral.
UACGUAGGGUGCAAGCGUUGUCCGGAAUUAUUGGGCGUAAAGAGCGUGUAGGCGGCCCGACCAGUCCGCUGUGAAAGUCCAGGGCUCAACCCUGGAAUGCCGGUGGAUACUGUCGGGCUAGAGUCCGGAAGGGGCGAGUGGAAUUCCUGGUGUAGCGGUGAAAUGCGCAGAUAUCAGGAGGAACACCAAUGGCGAAGGCAGCUCGCUGGGACGUGACUGACACUGAGACGCGAAAGCGUGGGGAGCAAACAGG